AAAGGAAUAGACGGGCACCCGCACAAGCGGUGGAGCAUGCUGUUUAAUUCGAAGAUACGCGAAGAACCUUACCUGGGCUUGACAUCCCGCUGACCGUCUUAGAAAUAAGAUUUUCCCUUCGGGGACAGCGGUGACAGGUGGUGCAUGGUUGUCGUCAGCUCGUGUCGUGAGAUGUUCGGUUAAGUCCGAUAACGAGCGCAACCCCUAUCUUUAAUUGCUAACAUUAAGUUGAGAACCUUAAAGAUACUGCCGGUGACAAACCGGAGGAAGGUGGGGAUGACGUCAAAUCAUCAUGCCCCUUACGUCCAGGGCUACAGGCGUGCUACAAUGGCUGGUAUAAUAAGAUGCAAUGUCGCGAGACGGAGCAAAUCUCCAAAGCCAGUCCCAGUCCGGAUUGGAGUCUGCAACUCGACUCCAUGAAGUUGGAAUCGCUAGUAAUCCCGAAUCAGAAUGUCGGGGUGAAUACGUUCCCGGGUGUUGUACACACCGCCCGU
Molecule: ribosomal RNA, 494 nt
Filed under: uncultured bacterium
Lineage: Bacteria
Description: bacterial SSU rRNA
Rfam family: Bacterial small subunit ribosomal RNA
Source: RNAcentral